This 471-nucleotide ribosomal RNA is filed under the name uncultured bacterium. RNAcentral's name for it is "bacterial SSU rRNA". It matches the Rfam family "Bacterial small subunit ribosomal RNA", at positions 28 to 494 of the family's 1533-position model. The record is from RNAcentral.
GAUGAACGCUAGCGACAGGCCUAACACAUGCAAGUCGAGGGGCAGCACGGGUAGCAAUACCUGGUGGCGACCGGCGCAAGGGUGCGUAACGCGUGAGCAACAUGCCCUAUACAGGGGGAUAAUCCAGGGAAACUUGGUCUAAUAUCCCAUAGUAUUUAGAGGAGGCAUCUUCUAUAAAUUAAAGCUUCGGUGGUAUAGGAUUGGCUCGCGUGACAUUAGCUAGAUGGUGAGGUAACGGCUCACCAUGGCAAUGAUGUCUAGGGGUUCUGAGAGGAAGGCCCCCCACACUGGGACUGAGACACGGCCCAGACUCCUACGGGAGGCAGCAGUGAGGAAUAUUGGACAAUGGAUGGAAAUCUGAUCCAGCCAUGCCGCGUGCAGGAAGACAGCCCUAUGGGUUGUAAACUGCUUUUAUAUGGGAGCAAUAAGGUCUACGUGUAGACUGAUGAGAGUACCAUAUGAAUAAGCAUC